UCCCUUGAUUAGUACUUGAUGUCUAAAGAUUAGAUUUUUUAUAGUUAAGCUCGUGGAAAGAUUAUGUUGUGACAAGGGAAUCUUUAUAAGAUCUAUGAUGGUUUGUGCAAUAUGAGUAUGUAGUGGUUGGUUCAGCUUCACUUCUGGUUGUAGCCGGUAUCGAUUCGAAAUAUUUCUUGGUUAUGUGAGAAAAAAUUUG
RNAcentral lists this long non-coding RNA (199 nucleotides) under Solanum tuberosum (potato). Its description in RNAcentral is "long non-coding RNA (STUB_LNC005734)". The record is from RNAcentral. Lineage: Eukaryota; Viridiplantae; Streptophyta; Magnoliopsida; Solanales; Solanaceae.